RNAcentral lists this ribosomal RNA (435 nucleotides) under uncultured bacterium. RNAcentral's name for it is "bacterial SSU rRNA". It matches the Rfam family "Bacterial small subunit ribosomal RNA", at positions 958 to 1392 of the family's 1533-position model. The record is from RNAcentral.
AACGCGAAGAACCUUACCAAAUCUUGACAUCCUUUGACCGCUCUAGAGAUAGAGUCUUCCCCUUCGGGGGACAAAGUGACAGGUGGUGCAUGGUUGUCGUCAGCUCGUGUCGUGAGAUGUUGGGUUAAGUCCCGCAACGAGCGCAACCCUUAAGCUUAGUUGCCAUCAUUAAGUUGGGCACUCUAAGUUGACUGCCGGUGACAAACCGGAGGAAGGUGGGGAUGACGUCAAAUCAUCAUGCCCCUUAUGAUUUGGGCUACACACGUGCUACAAUGGACAAUACAAAGGGCAGCUAAACCGCGAGGUCAAGCAAAUCCCAUAAAGUUGUUCUCAGUUCGGAUUGUAGUCUGCAACUCGACUACAUGAAGCUGGAAUCGCUAGUAAUCGUAGAUCAGCAUGCUACGGUGAAUACGUUCCCGGGUCUUGUACACACCG